GUAUUGAUGAUGAGUUCCAAAUUAGGACGAAACAGCUGUCCAGUAC
Trichobilharzia regenti is the source of this 46-nucleotide non-coding RNA. NCBI's taxonomy places the organism in Eukaryota, Metazoa, Platyhelminthes, Trematoda, Strigeidida, Schistosomatidae. The record is from Rfam.